This 158-nucleotide ribosomal RNA is filed under the name Verrucaria ditmarsica. RNAcentral's name for it is "5.8S ribosomal RNA". It matches the Rfam family "5.8S ribosomal RNA". From Rfam's summary of the family: 5.8S ribosomal RNA (5.8S rRNA) is a component of the large subunit of the eukaryotic ribosome. It is transcribed by RNA polymerase I as part of the 45S precursor that also contains 18S and 28S rRNA. Lineage: Eukaryota; Fungi; Ascomycota; Eurotiomycetes; Verrucariales; Verrucariaceae. The record is from RNAcentral.
AAAACUUUCAACAACGGAUCUCUUGGCUCUGGCAUCGAUGAAGAACGCAGCGAAAUGCGAUAAGUAAUACGAAUUGCAGAAUUCCGUGAGUCAUCGAAUCUUUGAACGCACAUUGCGCCCUCUGGUACUCCGGAGGGCAUGCCUGUCCGAGCGUCAUU